Molecule: long non-coding RNA, 115 nt
Organism: Leopardus geoffroyi (Geoffroy's cat)
Lineage: Eukaryota; Metazoa; Chordata; Mammalia; Carnivora; Felidae
Exons: 3
Source: RefSeq, a predicted model, not a curated record
AGCUUUCUUUUGACUUUCAAUAGCAUGAUAGACGGUUCUCCAUUCCCUCACUUUCAACCUGCAGGUAUCCUCAGGUCUACAAUGAGUGUCUUGCAGGUACCAAGCACAUAAACAA